Homo sapiens (human) is the source of this 358-nucleotide long non-coding RNA. RefSeq lists it as uncharacterized. The transcript has 2 exons. Lineage: Eukaryota; Metazoa; Chordata; Mammalia; Primates; Hominidae. The record is from RefSeq and is a predicted model, not a curated record.
UGUGAGUGGCGUAUGGACGACAGAGCCGAGGAAAAGGGAAAAUCGAUCCGGAGAAGUGGUGUUGACAACCACAGCAGCCGGGAAGAUCAGCCACCCUGGCCACGUGUGGACGGACCCUCGCCAGGAUCAUGGGUUUUCCCUUCCGGGAUCGGAACGCGGGAGCUAGACGCGCUGCGUGUGAGCAGCACAGAAAACCACGGUUGCCGCCCCAUGAAGCCUUCAGUCUAGAGAGGGAUCCGCCCAGAAGUUACCCAAGGAACAGACAAUUACAAGUUAUAAUUCUCUGAAGGAAACAUAUGGAGUGUUAUUGGUGAAUGUGAAAAGGGCAACAAAUACAGUUUGUGACAUCAGAAAAGAA